Leptidea sinapis is the source of this 74-nucleotide non-coding RNA. The record is from the annotation of a RefSeq genome assembly. NCBI's taxonomy places the organism in Eukaryota, Metazoa, Arthropoda, Insecta, Lepidoptera, Pieridae.
GGACGGUUGGCUCAGUUGGUAGGAGCGCUCGGAUGCAACCCGAGAGGUCACGGGUUCGAGUCCUGCAUCGUCUA